RNAcentral lists this ribosomal RNA (253 nucleotides) under uncultured bacterium. Its description in RNAcentral is "partial 16S ribosomal RNA". It matches the Rfam family "Bacterial small subunit ribosomal RNA", at positions 524 to 776 of the family's 1533-position model. The record is from RNAcentral.
UACGGAGGGUGCAAGCGUUAAUCGGAAUUACUGGGCGUAAAGCGCACGCAGGUGGCUGAGAAAGUCGAUUGUGAAAGCCCUGGGCUUAACCUGGGAAUUGCAGUCGAAACUACUCAGCUAGAGUAUGGGAGAGGGCCGUGGAAUUCCCGGUGUAGCGGUGAAAUGCGUAGAUAUCGGGAGGAACAUCAGUGGCGAAGGCGGCUGCCUGGCCCAAUACUGACACUCAGGUGCGAAAGCGUGGGGAGCUAACAGG